CGCAUCUUUCCCACGCGGGCGCACCACGAAAAUUAUUCCAACAACACCAACAGCGAUUUGUUAUGAAAUGCUCCCCUUCUGAAAGUAUACAAGAACGAAAUCGAAAAUAAAGUAAUUGGAAUCGCGAUUACGUGAUUGUGUCAGUCGAAGGAUGUGAAGAGAGAUGAAACACUUUUGGCUCGAAAGGCUGCGAUACUUGGAUAAACCAAGAACGAAUAAGGCCUGAAAUUCACUAUUGCCUUCGCGCCAAAAGUUUGAAGAUUUCAGCAGAAAGUUGGUUAUGCCCAAAAAAGUUGAUCUGCGAGUUGUCCAUUGUUCAGGGGCUGAUGAGGGCCAUAGUGCUAAAGAACUAGAGGUCCAUAGUCCAACAACAUCUGGUUGGCAGUCAUCACGAUUCUGCUUAUACCCCCAAGAGAUUGUACUUCAGAUAUCUAAGGUUCAGCCACUGAGAGUUCGAAAACUUCAGGUGCUUUCUCACCAGUAUUUGGUUGCCACCAGGAUUGAGGUGUUUGUGGGCCGUGUUCCAAGUGGUCAGCCUGUCUCACUGCUCACAUGCAAGUACAAGCGACUAGGAUAUGUUGGGUUAUCUGAUAAUGAAAGUACACAGUUCAAGGCUAGGGAGCUCAAAUCCAUCCAUCUUGAUGCAGAGGGUCAGUUUAUCAAGCUACUUGUCCACAAGAACUAUGUCAAUAGAUACAACCUUUAUAAUCAGGUUGGCUUGGUUGCAGUCAAUGUAAUAGCAGACGUCCCUGAAAUUGUGCCAGCUGAUCCACAUGACCCAGAUCCAAUCAAGGGUAUUGACAGCAUCGUUGACAGCUAUAUGAAGCCAGAGUCACAAUUUUCAGGAGACCCCAUAUGGGGGAAAAUUAACCGUCCUGAAUAUGUCUCACCACUUGAUGACCUGGCUUUUGACAUGUACCAGGAUCCUGAGACUGCUAACUUGAUUAGAAAGCUUGAAGCCAAGAAAAAGGAAGCAGUCCAACAGGAGAGAUAUGAUUUUGCCAAAAAGUUGAAGGUUGUGAUCUCUGAACUGUACAAAGCUGGAGAAAAGCUUGGCAAGUAUGAGGUAGAAAAGAAAAGAGCUGUGGAACAAGAAGACUAUGACCAUGCACAGGAGAAAAAGCGUGAAAUUGAUGAGUUCAGGCUAUAUGUAUAUCGCCAGCUGGAUAUCAGCGCCCUGCUGGAGCUAGAUGGGAAGUCAUACAACCAGCAGCCGCCACUACACAUUACCUCCCCUCCCUUACCCCCAUUGGUUUCACAGAGAACACCUCCCCCUGUGCAGCAGGCAGAAAGGAGGUCGCCACCCAUCCGGCCUGCACAGACCUACACUUCACCUGAGCCUACACGACAGGAUUUCACUUCUCCUAUUGCAGUUGACCAAAGUCAGAAUGAGGAUCGGCCACUCCCUGCUCUUAAAAACAAAUCUCUAGAGCAAGAAGAACCCAUCCCAGAGGAGCCUGUAACAGCUAAGACAGGAGAUGGACCCGAACCUCUUAAAGAAAAUGAUCUACGCACAGCAGGCAUGGCUGUUGAUGUGUUUGGAGAACAUUUGGUGCAGUGCGCCUUCUCCAAACAGUGGAACUUCCGGCAAGAAGCCAUGGAGAUGCUUGAACAGGAAAUGACGUCAUCUUCACCGGACCUCACAAGUGACAAAGAACCUCGUAACGUUGUCAGGGCAACUGUCAUACUAUUGAAGAAGGGAAUCAAGGAGAAAGUACUAACUGUAUUCACUCCAUGCCUGGGUGUUCUCCGAGCGCUCUUGCAUGCGUAUAUCCCACACCACAGGAUAGGAAAGGCAGAAAUCUCCCAUGUUGUUGAGAAGACUGUCCCAGCUUUACUUGUGAAAUCAGGAGAAACGACCCCAAGAACUAGGGAUGCAGCCAUUGAAAUGAUCUUGGAGAUGGCAGCUUAUAAGGAUGUUAAGGGGCUUGGGGUUAUUGCAGACCUGGUGACACAGCCAACCAAAUCAAAACAGGCUCCAUGGCGGUUACUCAAGAGUCGGCUGGAGAUCAUUGAUAAGUUGCUCCCUGUCCUCGAUGUGGAAAGUGGUCAAGCCGGGUGUCUGUCGCUGGAGGCUGUCAUGCAUGUAGCUGUCCCCGCACUUGAUCACAAUAAUGGGGAGGUCAGGGAUGCAGCAGUCAAGCUCAUAUUCGAGCUCUACAAAAAGGUCAAAGACCCUGUGAAAGGCUUUUUACCCAAUGAUGAACCUGCGACACGUAAGAAUCCCCUGUAUAGAUCAAUCUUUGAUGGCUUCGACCACAUUGACGGGAAACCUACAGAAUCCGAACGACGGGCUCAAGCAAAGAUUGAAAGACAGAAUGCUGAGAAACACAAACAAGCCGAGAUCGAGGCACUGCAGGCACAACUCCAGGCUCUCCGCGAAAUGGCCGGGGAAGACAAAUCGCAAGCUACAUCCAAAGACAAAUCCGACAAGAAAAAGAAAGCUGAAGAGCCUGCUCUUGAUAUGGACAAAAUGUGCAUUUUCUGCGGCGAACAGAAUGAAUCAUUCACAGAAGAUAUGCUAGACCUUCAUUACUGGAAGAGCUGCCCAAUGCUAAACCGCUGUGAGCACUGCUCCCAGGUUGUUGAGGUGUCCGGCUUUAACGAUCAUCUUCUCACGGAGUGUGACGCCAAGGACCGUAAUGCCCAGUGUCCUCGCUGCAAGGAAGUCAUGCUAAAGGUCGACUUAGAUGACCACUUGGUUCAGGCUGGUUGUACUGCCCGUGGUAAGGACGCGGCCAUCUGCCCGCUGUGUAAGACGAAGAUCGGCUCCGAGGAAGAGGCAUGGAGAAACCAUUUGAUGGAGAACUGUAAAGCGAACAAAGCACGUCUGCAGCAGCAACAAGCGAGCAAGGCCCCUAGCAGAGCAAGUUUACGGAGCAACAGGGGGAGGGGUGGUGGAAAGAUAACUCCUUCCUUACGAGGGGUAGGCAGGGGACGCAAAGGCGCCACACCUAGACAGUAGAUGACAAUUAGACCUGACUCAGGAAACCAGCCAUUUUACCCAUGUGGAUUUCUGGAGCAUCGACUGCUAGUACCCAGUGGCCCCCCAAUCGUGAAAACCUGCCGAGUAAUAGACUGUUUCAAGUAGAAAAGCGUACCCCCCAGCGUAGACCGUGCUUCGGAGGAUUCUGUAACACCCUCGUGGAUCGUACUGAUUACCCUGCUGCGAAGAUUGAUAGAGAUCUUGGCUCAUGGGUGCGCCGGGAGCCUCAGAGAGGGCUUUGCAUGGCUGGACGUUGCCGAAAAGAUACCGAUGGCCAAGAGAAGAAGACAGACGGCAAAUUUACCAGAGAAUCCCUAGCACUUGUUAUGCCUCGACGAGGACAAGCGAAGACGGCCCCGAACCUCGGCCUACCAGUGGUCCGUGAGCCACCAAGAGGAGUCUGCAUGGCUGGUCGAUGCCGUAAAGAAGUCAUUCCCGAAGCUGGGGGAUCAUCUAUGAGAUGACACCGAUAACAACGAGAGAUCGAGCGAACCAGAGUUAGAACCUUCAAAAAAAAGAGCUAUUUUGUCUAAUUUUAAUUAAUAAUAAUAAAUAGUGAAAUAUUUAUUGCGCUGAAAUAAAACAGUAUGGCAUGCUUAGUGAUAGUAAUUUAUUUCUUUUCUCGUUGCCUGCGUUCAAUAGGCCUGCUUUCCAAUACCCUUCCAUAGAUUCAUGAAAGAGUACGGGCAGCUUUUGAUACCGGUUGUACUGUUUGAGAUUCGUGUGGCAGGCCCUUUGGCAAGAGGGGCUGAAGAUGAAGAGAGCCAACCGACGUGACGUAACAACCAUCCACCGGAGUUGACAUUCUCCGUCCCAAAGCUCCUCGAAGCACAACAGCGAAGGAGCUCUGGGGAAGAGAAUACAGGAGUUGAACGCUCAUUAGUUCCCUUUGAGUGGUUUUCAUUAACCCGUGAAACAGUGAUAGACAAAGUGUACUAGCCUCGGAAGAAACAAAAA
Molecule: RNA transcript, 3943 nt
Organism: Nematostella vectensis (starlet sea anemone)
Lineage: Eukaryota; Metazoa; Cnidaria; Anthozoa; Actiniaria; Edwardsiidae
Gene name: centrosomal protein of 104 kDa
Exons: 37
Source: RefSeq, a predicted model, not a curated record